Molecule: non-coding RNA, 1553 nt
Organism: Microcebus murinus (gray mouse lemur)
Lineage: Eukaryota; Metazoa; Chordata; Mammalia; Primates; Cheirogaleidae
Source: RefSeq, a predicted model, not a curated record
AGCACUGAGGACGCCAUUAUCCUCUGUUUCUCUACUACACCGACCUCGACGUCUUGGCUGUGUCCCACUUGUUUGCAGCCUACUACAGCACUAGGGUGUCAGUUGUUGGUCCCGCCCAGAACACUUUAGUUCUGCUCUGCAAGGAUAUAUAAUAACUGAUUGGUGUGUCCAUUUAAUACAAGAAAAUGGAAACCGAACAGCCAGAGGAAACUUUCCCCAACACUGAAACCAAUGGUGAAUUUGGUAAACGCCCUGCAGAAGAUAUGGAAGAGGAACAAGCAUUUAAAAGGUCUAGAAACACUGAUAAGAUGGUUGAAUUACGUAUUCUGCUUCAGAGCAAGAAUGCUGGGGCAGUGAUUGGAAAAGGAGGCAAGAAUAUUAAGGCUCUCCGUACUGACUACAAUGCCAGUGUUUCAGUCCCAGACAGCAGUGGCCCCGAGCGCAUAUUGAGGCAUCAGUGCUGAUAUUGAAACAAUUGGAGAAAUACUGAAGAAAAUCAUCCCUACCUUGGAAGAGGGCCUGCAGUUGCCAUCACCCAGUGCAACCAGCCAGCUCCCGCUCGAAUCUGAUGCUGUGGAAUGCUUAAAUUACCAGCACUAUAAAGGAAGCGACUUUGACUGCGUGUUGAGACUGUUGAUUCAUCAGAGUCUGGCAGGAGGAAUUAUUGGGGUCAAAAGGUGCUAAAAUCAAAGAACUUCGUGAGAACACUCAAACAACAAUCAAGCUUUUCCAGGAAUGCUGUCCUCAUUCCACUGACAGAGUCGUUCUUAUUGGAGGAAAACCUGAUAGGGUUGAAGAGUGCAUAAAGAUCAUUCUUGAUCUUAUAUCGGAGUCUCCCAUCAAAGGACGUGCACAGCCUUAUGAUCCCAAUUUUUACGAUGAAACUAUGAUUAUGGUGGUUUACAAUGAUGUUUGAUGACCGCCGUGGACGGCCUGUAGGAUUUCAAUGCGGGGAAGAGGUGGUUUUGACAGAACUGCCUCUGGUGGGGAUGGGCAUCCCAUGCCUCCGUCUAGAAGAGAUUAUGAUGAUAUGAGCCCUCGUAGAGGACCACCUCCCCUCCUCCUGGUCGAGGUGGCCGGGGUGGUAGUAGAGCUCGGAAUCUCCUCUUCCUCCUCCACCACCUCCUAGAGGAGGAGAUCUAAUGGCCUAUGAUAGAAGAGGAAGACCUGGAGACCGCUACGAUGGCAUGGUUGGUUUCAGUGCUGAUGAAACUUGGGACUCUGCAAUAGAUACACGGAGCCCAUCAGAAUGGCAGAUGACUUAUGAACCACAGGGAGGCUCUGGAUAUGAUUAUUCCUAUGCAGGGGGUCGUGGCUCAUAUGGUGAUCUUGGUGGACCUAUUAUUACUACACAAGUAAUAUUCCAAAGAUUGGCUGGAUCUAUAUGGCAAGGUGGUCAGCGGAUUAAAACAAAUCCGUCAUGAGUCGGAGCUUCGAUCAAAAUCGAUGAGCCUUUAGAAGGAUCCGAAGAUCGGAUCAUUACGUUCGAUACAGGACAGAUCUGCCGUUUUGCGACAAGUGUGAAGCAGUAUGCAGAUGUUGAAGGAUUCUAA